Molecule: ribosomal RNA, 497 nt
Filed under: uncultured bacterium
Lineage: Bacteria
Description: partial 16S ribosomal RNA
Rfam family: Bacterial small subunit ribosomal RNA
Source: RNAcentral
GACGAACGCUGGCGGCGUGCCUAAUACAUGCAAGUUGAGCGCUGAAGGUUGGUACUUGUACCAACUGGAUGAGCAGCGAACGGGUGAGUAACGCGUGGGUAAUCUGCCUUUGAGCGGGGGACAACAUUUGGAAACGAAUGCUAAUACCGCAUAAAAACUUUAAACACAAGUUUUAAGUUUGAAAGAUGCAAUUGCAUCACUCAAAGAUGAUCCCGCGUUGUAUUAGCUAGUUGGUGAGGUAAAGGCUCACCAAGGCGAUGAUACAUAGCCGACCUGAGAGGGUGAUCGGCCACAAUGGGACUGAGACACGGCCCCAGCUCCUACGGGAGGCAGCAGUAGGGAAUCUUCGGCAAUGGACGAAAGGCUGACCGAGCAACGCCGCGUGAGUGAAGAAGGGUUUCGGAUCGUAAAACUCUGUUGGUAGAGAAGAAAGUUGGUGAGAGUGGAAAGCUCAUCAAGUGACGGUAACUACACAGAAAGGGACGGCUAACUACGUG